GAUGAACGCUAGCUACAGGCUUAACACAUGCAAGUCGAGGGGUAACGAGAGGAAAGCUUGCUUUCCUUGUCGACGACCGGCGCACGGGUGAGUAACGCGUAUCCAACCUGCCCCCAACUAGGGAAUAACCUUGCGAAAGUAAGACUAAUACCCUAUAAUUUCCUCAGAUGUCAUCUGACGAGGAAUAAAGAUUUAUCGGUUGUGGAUGGGGAUGCGUCUGAUUAGCUUGUUGGCGGGGUAACGGCCCACCAAGGCAACGAUCAGUAGGGGUUCUGAGAGGAAGGUCCCCCAAAUUGGAGCUGUGACACGGUCCAAACUCCUGCGGGAGGAAGCAGUGGGGAAUAUUGGUCAAUGGGCGGAAGCCUGAACCAGCCAAGUAGCGUGCAGGAUGACGGCCCUAUGGGUUGUAAACUGCUUUUAUACAGGAAUAAAGUUAGCCACGUGUGGUUAUUUGUAGGUACUGUAUGAAUAAGGACCGGCUAAUUCCGUGCCAGCAGCCGCCGUAA
RNAcentral lists this ribosomal RNA (506 nucleotides) under uncultured bacterium. RNAcentral describes it as "partial 16S ribosomal RNA". It matches the Rfam family "Bacterial small subunit ribosomal RNA", at positions 28 to 523 of the family's 1533-position model. The record is from RNAcentral.